UUUAAGUAUAAAUAUUUAAUAAAAUUAGUAUUAGUUAUGUUCUUGAAAUUUAAAGAUUUUGGCGGUAUUUUAGUCUUUUCAGAGGAACCUGUUCUGUAAUCGAUAGUCCACGAUUAAUAUUACUUAUUUUAAUUAAUUUGUAUAUCGUCGUAGUUGAAUAUUUCAUUAGGAUUUAAAUAUUCAAGAUUUAAAAUAAUAAAUUAAAUCAGAUCAAGGUGCAAUUUAUAAAUAAGAAGAGAUGGGUUACAAUAAAAGUAUUUAUACGAAUAAAUUAAUGAAAAAGAUUUUGAAGGUGGAUUUGAAAGUAAUAAAAUUGAUUUAGAUUUUAUGAUUUUGGCUCUAAAAUAUGU
This 350-nucleotide ribosomal RNA is filed under the name Hydrochus flavipennis. Its description in RNAcentral is "partial 12S ribosomal RNA". Lineage: Eukaryota; Metazoa; Arthropoda; Insecta; Coleoptera; Hydrochidae. The record is from RNAcentral.